AACCCAAUGGAGCUAGGGUUUG
This 22-nucleotide small nuclear RNA is filed under the name Arabidopsis thaliana (thale cress). Its description in RNAcentral is "snRNA_07773". Lineage: Eukaryota; Viridiplantae; Streptophyta; Magnoliopsida; Brassicales; Brassicaceae. The record is from RNAcentral.